CCCUUAGAUGUUCUGGGCUGCACGCGCGCGACAAUGACGUUUGCAACGAGAUUGCGAGGCCGUCAGGUCGAGCUGAUCUUGCAAGCUGCGUCGUGAUAGGGACAGUCGAUUGCAAUUAUUCGACUCGAACGAGGAAUUCCUUGUAAUCGCGCAUCAUCAGUGCGCGCUGAAUACGUCCCUGCCCUUUGUACACACCGCCCGUCGCUCCUACCGAUUGAGUGAUCCGGCGAAUGUUUUGGAUCGGCUUCAAGUUGGUUCGCGCCUCUUGCUUGCUGUGAAAUCAUGUAAACCUUAUUGCUUAGAGGAAGGAGAAGUCGUAACA
Molecule: ribosomal RNA, 322 nt
Filed under: uncultured eukaryote
Lineage: Eukaryota
Description: partial 18S ribosomal RNA
Rfam family: Eukaryotic small subunit ribosomal RNA
Source: RNAcentral